This 1070-nucleotide long non-coding RNA is filed under the name Monodelphis domestica (gray short-tailed opossum). RNAcentral's name for it is "lncRNA (ENSMODG00000038565.1)". Lineage: Eukaryota; Metazoa; Chordata; Mammalia; Didelphimorphia; Didelphidae. The record is from RNAcentral.
CUGAGAACAGAUUUGAAGAGGCGGAGCCAGGGGAGGCCUGUGCUACAUGCAGAGGAGGAGAGGCUUCCGCUGUAACUGUGUAUAGGAUUGCUUGAAGCGGCCUCUCCAAAGGGAGAAUGGAAGAGAAAUGCGAUGGGUUUCCCAAGAGUUAUUGUCACUGCUCGGAUCAAUCCCAACAUCUACAAACAUCAGGCGCUUGAGGGAAGGAAGCCACUGAAAGGCCUGCUGACAUCUUGAGCCUGUGAAAUGUAUUUGCUAAAAUAAUGACACGGCAGGCCCAGAGUGACUUUUCCAGCCCUCAUUAUCGUCACUCCUUCCCAGAAAGAUUUAAUUAGAUCAGAAAAAAAAAGUUUCCUUCCAUGUGAUGAUGACUUAUAGCAUUGCAUUAUUCUUAAUAUCCCAGAACAUGACAUCGGGACGAACUAGAAAGAGGAAGCUUUGGGAUUGGGCUCAUGGGUCUUCCUUGGCCGCUUUCUAUUAAUUGCUGCUUAAAGUAAAGAGAGAACUCUUAUUAGGACUUCUUGAAGAUGGUAAAGCUUCUCACAAAUUGCUGUUGAUGCUGAAAAUGGAGGGAAAAGGAAAGAUCCUGAUUCUCCUUGUCAGGCUGAUGUUUGACGAUUUCACUUUUCAAGAUGACUCUUUUUGGUUCUUAACCCAGCACAUCCCCAAAUAUUCAGGCAAUUUUCUAUCAGAAACUGGGCAGCAACCAGGUAUUUGUAGCAGGGAAUUUUGUGAAUACAUUUUCUCCAGUUUUCCUUAAAAAAAAAAGGUACCUUCUCGUGAUUAUAUGGUUAUUCUGUAGAAGCUAUGGCAGCAUUCAAAACCCAUCAUUCCUUAAUAUCCAAAACUAUUAUCUAUUUCAUGAAUUAUUUUCUUUGAUAAUGACUUCCUACACUAUUUCUCAUGAUUUCUCAGAAAUGUCAUCACAUAUUUUUAUAUACAUGCAUGUGUGUAUAUGUAUGUGUGUGUGUGUAUAAACAUACACACACAUUAUGUCCCAUUGUAUUAACUGUGCCCUUUAGGUUACCAACAACUUUAAAUUCAUCCUCUUACAAUCAUUUGGAUUACUU